CCCUCGGAGCUAUACUUGGUAUUCCUCUUCCUCUCGUUUCUAAAGCCAUGCUUAGUUCUUCGCCUCCUUGGGUUGCGCCGCUUCUCCAGAGCUUCUUCGAUUUCGCGGGAAAUGGGGCGAAAGUGUGUUGCAUCAUUUAUUUAUUCUGAUUCUCGGCGAAAUACUGCUUCUCUAACUCCAUCAUCUUCCCGUCCAUUUACUGGGAAAGUACCUCUAAAUCCCCAGUGAACUACAAGCUCAGGGUCUCAUUCUUCAGCUGCUCAUGUGCAUACAGGUUCUCGAGGCUCCUCGCAACGGGUUGAUACACAAGCCUUUAUUCCAAAAUAUGUCCCACCUCCGAACAAUGUUGUUCCAUCUACUGACGAGGCCCUUGAUGGUGUUCAAAUGAAUCCUGAAGAUGAUUCUGACUCAGAAACAAAUGAAUCUCCUCAGGAGGAUACAAGGGCACAUGAUGGGCCACGAUGCAGAAAACCUUCAUCAUCCCGUCCAACCUAAACUAUAAUCAGGAACUAUUACACAAAAACCUUGGAGGAUUUAGAUGCCAAACUACAGGAACAACAGUCAACAGGUUCUCAUGGGGAAGUGUAUCGUGCAGAUUGGAAUGGCAUGGUGAGUUAGUUGCAAUGUCACUUGCACUCUUUGUUAAUAGAAACUUUUCGAGUUAAAUAACUAUUUGACUUUUUCCAAUCAUGUUUUUAGAGUUAUUUCCUGCUUUUUUUUUGCCCCAAUACUUAAUUGGUUUUGUGACUUUUGUCUUAUGGUUGACUAUCUUCCAACUUUAUUGUAUAAUAGAUUUCUGACAUUUUAUAAGCUACUUUCGGGAAAGAAAAAAAAUGCACAGUGGUUUGCAAUUGAACAUGUAGUAGAUGUGCAAUAUGAGGAAUUUCAUAAUAGGGCUUGAUGUUCAAGUUGAGGAUAUUGAUCA
This is a long non-coding RNA of Dioscorea cayenensis subsp. rotundata (Guinea yam), 925 nucleotides long. RefSeq lists it as uncharacterized. The transcript has 4 exons. The record is from RefSeq and is a predicted model, not a curated record. Lineage: Eukaryota; Viridiplantae; Streptophyta; Magnoliopsida; Dioscoreales; Dioscoreaceae.